RNAcentral lists this transfer RNA (87 nucleotides) under Nitrosomonas sp. Nm33. RNAcentral describes it as "tRNA_Leu_TAA". It matches the Rfam family "tRNA". Rfam says of the family: Transfer RNA (tRNA) molecules are approximately 80 nucleotides in length. The record is from RNAcentral. Lineage: Bacteria; Pseudomonadati; Pseudomonadota; Betaproteobacteria; Nitrosomonadales; Nitrosomonadaceae.
GCCCGGAUGGUGAAAUUGGUAGACACAAGGGACUUAAAAUCCCUCGGGCCUUAUACGCCCGUGCCGGUUCGAUUCCGGCUCCGGGCA